UUUCCUAAAAUCAUCUCCGUUGCACCGC
This 28-nucleotide non-coding RNA is filed under the name Rattus norvegicus (Norway rat). The record is from RNAcentral. Lineage: Eukaryota; Metazoa; Chordata; Mammalia; Rodentia; Muridae.